CCUACGGGAGGCAGCAGUGAGGAAUAUUGGUCAAUGGACGAGAGUCUGAACCAGCCAAGUAGCGUGAAGGAUGACUGCCCUAUGGGUUGUAAACUUCUUUUAUAUGGGAAUAAAAUGUUCCACGUGUGGGAUUUUGUAUGUACCAUAUGAAUAAGGAUCGGCUAACUCCGUGCCAGCAGCCGCGGUAAUACGGAGGAUCCGAGCGUUUUCCAGAUUUAUUGGGUUUAAAGGGAGCGUAGGUGGAUUGUUAAGUCAGUUGUGAAAGUGUGCGGCUCAACCGUAAAAUUGCAGUUGAAACUGGCAGUCUUGAGUACAGUAGAGGUGGGCGGAAUUCGGGGUGUAGCGGUGAAAUGCUUAGAUAUCACGAAGAACUCCGAUGGCGAAGGCAGUUCACUGGACUGAAACUGACACUGAGGCUCGAAAGUGUGGGUAUCAAACAGGAUUAGAUACCCGGGUAGUC
This 460-nucleotide ribosomal RNA is filed under the name uncultured bacterium. Its description in RNAcentral is "partial 16S ribosomal RNA". It matches the Rfam family "Bacterial small subunit ribosomal RNA", at positions 338 to 795 of the family's 1533-position model. The record is from RNAcentral.